Molecule: ribosomal RNA, 397 nt
Filed under: uncultured bacterium
Lineage: Bacteria
Description: partial 16S ribosomal RNA
Rfam family: Bacterial small subunit ribosomal RNA
Source: RNAcentral
AUACGUAGGUGACAAGCGUUAUCCGGAUUUACUGGGUGGAAAGGGCGUGUAGGCGGUUUAGCAAGUCAGAAGAGAAAUUCCCGGGCUUAACUUGGGCGCUGCUUCUGAAACUGCUUUACUUGAGUGCUGGAGAGGAUAGUGGAAUUCCUAGUGUAGCGGUAAAAUGCGCAGAUAUUAGGAGGAACACCGGUGGCGAAGGCGGCUAUCUGGACAGUAACUGACGCUGAGGCGCGAAAGCACGGGGAGCAAACAGGAUUAGAUACCCUGGUAGUCCUAGCCGUAAACGAUGGGUACUAGGUGUAGGGGGUUUAGACGCCCUCUGUGCCGCAGUUAACACAUUAAGUACCCCGCCUGGGGAGUACGGCCGCAAGGCUAAAACUCAAAGGAAUUGGCGGGG